RNAcentral lists this ribosomal RNA (301 nucleotides) under uncultured bacterium. Its description in RNAcentral is "partial 16S ribosomal RNA". It matches the Rfam family "Bacterial small subunit ribosomal RNA", at positions 509 to 807 of the family's 1533-position model. The record is from RNAcentral.
CAGCCGCCACGGUAAUACGAACCGUGCGAACGUUAUUCGGAAUUACUGGGCUUAAAGCGCGUGUAGGCGGGUCGGCACGUCGGUUGCUGAAAUCCCCCGGCUCAACCGGGGAAGUGGCGCCGAUACGGCCGGCCUGGAGGGGGGUAGGGGGGCCUGGAACUUCCGGUGGAGCGGUGAAAUGCGUUGAGAUCGGAAGGAACGCCCGUGGCGAAAGCGAGGCCCUGGACCCUUUCUGACGCUGAGACGCGAAAGCCAGGGGAGCGAACAGGAUUAGAUACCCCAGUAGUCCCUGUCUCUUAUU